GAGCCCGUAGUUUAGCGGUAUAACGCCUCGUUGACGUCGAGGAGGUCGCCAGUUCGAAUCUGGCCGGGCUCA
This 72-nucleotide transfer RNA is filed under the name Candidatus Woesearchaeota archaeon. RNAcentral's name for it is "tRNA-Val". It matches the Rfam family "tRNA". From Rfam's summary of the family: Transfer RNA (tRNA) molecules are approximately 80 nucleotides in length. Their secondary structure includes four short double-helical elements and three loops (D, anti-codon, and T loops). Further hydrogen bonds mediate the characteristic L-shaped molecular structure. tRNAs have two regions of fundamental functional importance: the anti-codon, which is responsible for specific mRNA codon recognition, and the 3' end, to which the tRNAs corresponding amino acid is attached (by aminoacyl-tRNA synthetases). tRNAs cope with the degeneracy of the genetic code in two manners: having more than one tRNA (with a specific anti-codon) for a particular amino acid; and 'wobble' base-pairing, i.e. permitting non-standard base-pairing at the 3rd anti-codon position. The record is from RNAcentral. Lineage: Archaea; Nanobdellati; Candidatus Woesearchaeota.